ACGCACGCUGGCGGCGUGCUUCACACCUGCCAGUCGAACGGAAAGGCCCUGCUUGCAGGGUACUCGAGUGGCGAACGGGUGAGUAACACGUGGGUGAUCUGCCCUGCACUUCGGGAUAAGCUUGGGAAACUGGGUCUAAUACCGGAUAGGAACCAUCUUUAGUGUGGUGGUUGGAAAGUUUUUUCGGUGUAGGAUGAGCUCGCGGCCUAUCAGCUUGUUGGUGGGGUAAUGGCCUACCAAGGCGGCGACGGGUAGCCGGCCUGAGAGGGUGUACGGCCACAUUGGGACUGAGAGACGGCCCAGACUCCUACGGGAGGCAGCAGUGGGGAAUAUUGCACAAUGGGCGCAAGCCUGAUGCAGCGACGCCGCGUGGGGGAUGAAGGCCUUCGGGUUGUAAACUCCUUUCGCUAGGGACGAAGCUUUGUUGUGACGGUACCUAGAUAAGAAGCACCGGCUAACUACGUG
Molecule: ribosomal RNA, 465 nt
Filed under: uncultured bacterium
Lineage: Bacteria
Description: partial 16S ribosomal RNA
Rfam family: Bacterial small subunit ribosomal RNA
Source: RNAcentral